UACAGAGGUCCCAAGCGUUGUUCGGAAUCACUGGGCGUAAAGGGUGCGCAGGCCGCGCGGGCAGUCAAAUGUGUAAUUCAGGGGCUCAACCCCUGCACUGCGCUUGAUACUUCCGCGCUAGAACCUUGGAGAGGAGUCUGGAAUUCUCGGUGUAGCAGUGAAAUGCGUGGAUAUCGAGAAGAACACUAAGGGCGUAAGCAAGACUCUGGACAAGCGUUGACGCUCAAGCACGAAGGCUAGGGGAGCGAACGGG
This 253-nucleotide ribosomal RNA is filed under the name uncultured bacterium. RNAcentral describes it as "partial 16S ribosomal RNA". It matches the Rfam family "Bacterial small subunit ribosomal RNA", at positions 524 to 776 of the family's 1533-position model. The record is from RNAcentral.